CUUACUAAGUCUUUUUAACAAAAAAUGAAUUAGUUAACUGAAUGUAAAAAACAGUUAGGAAGCUGUGAACACUCAAACAAGAAAUCUGCACAUAGCUGCAGAUAAAUUCAUACUAAGCCAGCCUAACAUACAUUUACUAAUAUACAUUUACUAAUUAUAUAGCACAAUGUUGAAGUACACGUUCAUUCUAGUCCUAACAAGAAAUCUGCACAUAGCUGCAGAGUAACUUUUCAACUAAGUACUCCCUCCGUCCCGAAAAACAUGUCGCAGUGGCACUUUUACGAAAAAACCCUCAGCGAAUUCCCGACACAACCCGCACUCCCUGGUCGUCUCCCUCGCUCGUCUCCCCUGCGCGCCGGAGGUCCCCUGCUCGGUUCCCCCGCGCCGGAGGUCCCCUGCUCAGCUCCACCGCGCGUCGCCGAAGCUCCCCCGCCCCACGCCUCCACCGCGCUUCCCUCUCCUUGUUCCCUUAUUCGUUCCCCAUGGUGAAUCACGGGAAGGAGAAGGCUCGAUUUUUGUUUUCGAUCUGCUCUCCGGCGGGGGCGGCCUUUCCCGAGCUUGGCGAGCCGGAGCUGGCCCUUCCCGUCGUCAACCACCUCCUCGUCGGCUGGCCAUCGUAGACCACGAAGCCGGUACCCGCCAGUUCCUUCACCUCGCCGCCAACCUCGUCCAUCUCGCUCCCCCGCGCACCUCCCUGGAGUCGGCAGAAGCUCUCCACUUUCCCCCGUCGGCAGCAGCAACCAUCCCCGCCUUCGCCGCCCAGCAACCAGCACUGCCCGCGACCACAGAGCAAAGUUGCAGUUGCAGCAGUACGGGCCUGGAGAUUUGGUGACUGUCUUGCUGUCCGGUGAUGCAGCAGAACACUUGCAGUUGCUUAGGUGGCCUGGCCCUUUCAGUUGCAACUUGCAAAGUUCUGUAUGUUCCUUUGGGUUGUUGGUUCUGAACAUUUUGUGCAACUUGUAUGUAUCCCCUACUUCAUCACCAAUUCGUUUGACCACACCACUUGCUUGCUGAUCUUCACAGGCAUAUGAUGUGCACCCUUGGUCAUCCGAUCCCAUGAACUGCUAACGAAACAACGCCCAACGUCGUGACUGUGGUCACGUUUUGCAACCAAGCAACCGCCCUCCUCCGUUCUCCUCCAGCAGCAGCAAAAGAGUGCAGAGGAGCAGCAGCAGCAGUAGCUCGGGCACGGGAGAAGCACGGGAGACAGCAAAGCUCCAUCGGCGGGAGCUCGAGGAGAAGCAGCAACGGGAGCUCGAGGAGAAGCAGCAGCCGGAGCUCAAGGAGAAGCAGUCGCCGGAGCUUGAGGAGAAGCAGCAGCAGGAGAACGAGGACACGCGGGAGAGCAGUUUUGGGCGGCGGCGCAGAUCUGGGCGACGGCAGAGCAGGUCUGGGCGGCGGCGGCGGCGACGCCCGUACGGAAUCGCGGCUGGCCGGCGCCGGCCCCUGGCAAUCGUGCGGGGGACAAGCGGAGGAAGAUG
Long non-coding RNA from Triticum dicoccoides, 1481 nucleotides. RefSeq lists it as uncharacterized. The transcript has 4 exons. The record is from RefSeq and is a predicted model, not a curated record. Lineage: Eukaryota; Viridiplantae; Streptophyta; Magnoliopsida; Poales; Poaceae.